CCACAAUGCUGGCAAUGUUUUUUACCAAUAGCAGUUCACCUAAUAAUUAUUGAUACUGUGGGGCUGAGUGA
RNAcentral lists this small nucleolar RNA (71 nucleotides) under Carlito syrichta (Philippine tarsier). Its description in RNAcentral is "Small nucleolar RNA SNORD56 (ENSTSYG00000034897.1)". It matches the Rfam family "Small nucleolar RNA SNORD56". Rfam says of the family: U56 belongs to the C/D class of snoRNA which contain the C (UGAUGA) and D (CUGA) box motifs. Most of the members of the box C/D family function in directing site-specific 2'-O-methylation of substrate RNAs. The record is from Rfam by way of RNAcentral. Lineage: Eukaryota; Metazoa; Chordata; Mammalia; Primates; Tarsiidae.